Molecule: ribosomal RNA, 1494 nt
Filed under: uncultured bacterium
Lineage: Bacteria
Description: bacterial SSU rRNA
Rfam family: Bacterial small subunit ribosomal RNA
Source: RNAcentral
UAGAGUUUGAUCCUGGCUCAGGAUGAACGCUGGCGGCGUGCCUAAUACAUGCAAGUCGAACGAGAACCCGCCUUCGGAUGGGGGAAAGUGGCGCCCGGGUGAGUAACACGUAGCUGACCUACCCUUCACAGGGGGAUAACACCGAGAAAUCGGUGCUAAUACCGCGUAAGCUCGUCAGAAUUAGAAACUGACGAGGAAAACUGAGGUGGUGAAGGAGGGGGCUGCGAGCCAUCAGCUAGUUGGUAGGGUAAAGGCCUACCAAGGCGACGACGGCUAGGGGACCUGAGAGGGUGACCCCCCACACUGGAACUGACACACGGUCCAGACUCCUACGGGAGGCAGCAGUAAGGAAUAUUGCGCAAUGGGCGAAAGCCUGACGCAGCAACGCCGCGUGCGGGAUGAAGGGUUUCGGCUCGUAAACCGCUGUUCUGUGGGAAGAGAUAGGACGGUACCACAGGAGCAAGUCUCGGCUAACUACGUGCCAGCAGCCGCGGUAAAACGUAGGAGGCAAGCGUUAUCCGGAUUUACUGGGCGUAAAGCGCGUGCAGGCGGUUUUGAUAAGUCGUGCGUGAAAGCUCCCUGGCUCAACCGGGAGAGGUCGUGCGAGACUGUCAAACUAGAGACAGGCAGAGGUAGGUAGAAUUCCGGGUGUAGUGGUGAAAUGCGUAGAUUCCGGAGGAAUACCCGUGGCGAAGGCGACCUACUGGGCCUGAUCUGACGCUCAAACGCGAAAGCAUGGGGAGCGAACGGGAUUAGAAACCCCGGUAGUCCAUGCCGUAAAACGAUGUCUACUAGCGUUGGGGUUUAAAGCCGCAAGUGCCGCACAAACGCGAUAAGUAAACCGCUGGGGAUUACGGCCGCAAGGCUUAAAAUUCAAAGGAAUUUGACGGGGGGCCCGCACAAGCACCGGAGCGUGUGGUUUAAUUCGAGGCUACACGAAGAACCUAACCUAGGCUUGACAUGAUAACAGUAGGCUCUUGAAAGAGGGCCGACCUUCGGGCGUUAUUACAGGUGCUGCAUGGCUGUCGUCAGCUCGUGUCGUGAGAUGUUCGGUUAAGUCCGGUAACGAGCGCAACCCUCGGGUCUAGUUACAAGUGUCUAGACCGACUGCCCGGUGCAACUGGGAGGAAGGUGGGGAUGACGUCAAGUCAGCAUGGCCUUUAUGUCUAGGGCUACACACACGCUACAAUGGCCGGUACAAUUGGUAGCCAACCCGCGAGGGGGAGCCAAUCCGUAAAAGCCGGUCUCAGUUCGGAUUGCAGGCUGCAACUGCCUGCAUGAAGUUGGAGUUGCUAGUAAACGCGCAUCAGCUAUGGCGCGUUGAAUACGUUCCCGGGCCUUGUACACACCGCCCGUCACGUCAUGGGAGCUGGUCACGCCUGAAGUCGGUGGGCUAACCGCAAGGAGGCAGCCGCCAAAGGCAGGGCUGGUGACUGGGACGAAGUCGUAACAAGGUAGCUGUACCGGAAGGUGCGGCUGGAUCACCUCCUUAAG